UGCGUAGGCGGGUUUCUAAGUCAGAGGUGAAAGCCUGGAGCUCAACUCCAGAACUGCCUUUGAUACUGGAAGUCUUGAGUAUGGCAGAGGUGAGUGGAACUGCGAGUGUAGAGGUGAAAUUCGUAGAUAUUCGCAAGAACACCAGUGGCGAAGGCGGCUCACUGGGCCAUUACUGACGCUGAGGUGCGAAAGCGUGGGAGCAAACA
Molecule: ribosomal RNA, 206 nt
Filed under: uncultured bacterium
Lineage: Bacteria
Description: partial 16S ribosomal RNA
Rfam family: Bacterial small subunit ribosomal RNA
Source: RNAcentral